GUGUGAGGGGCUCCGGGCAGGGGGUGCUCUCCUGUCUCUCCUCCGCUCCGGCACCGCGGGGGAUACUCGGCGCCUAUUAAACCGAGCGUACCCGGAGCCGGGGAAGGACACAGUGCUGCGUGCUAGAGGCGAUCGAGGUUCCUCCUCCCGGGCUUUCCCCUCUAGAGAAGCCUGGGCGUGGUUGGGCAGUGACUGGAACCAAGGUGUAAUUUCCUGAACGUUGACAGCAGCGAUAAGGUGCGUGGACACAGUGGCUACGGCACAGUUCACAGAAUCACAGAAUGUGUCAGGUUGGACCACAGUGGGUCACCUGGCCCAGCCUCUCUGCUCAUGCAGCGCUAUCCCAGAGCACAUGGCACGGGACUGUGUCCAGACGGUGCUGGAAUGUCCCCCGUGAGGGGGAUCCAUGCCCUCGCUGGACGAUCUGUUCCAGUCCAUGUUCUUACUAGCGCCGGAUAACUAUGAGCAGAAAAACUCUGGUGUGCUCUGCUCCUACCCAGAUGUCUUGUGUGCGUGUGCCAGUCCAAGUAAUAAUUUUGUCCCUCUGCUUGCAGGACAGACUUGGGGAUGUUAUGAUUAAUAUGGAUUGAUCCAAUGUGAACUUUUAAUUGACAUCUACGGAGGCUGAAACCUUCCUGUUGAGGCAGAUCCUUGCAGAUGGUUUAGUGGGUGUACACUGAUUUUUCAUCCACAGGGCCUUGAGAUUACAUUCGGUUUGUGUGCCAGCACAAACCGGUCUAAAACAUCUUUUCCCAAAUCAUAAAGACCAUGAUUUGCGUUUUUCAGGAUUUGUGUGUGCGUUUUUAGAUAUUUUUCAUUGUUUUGACAGCAUCUGUCUUGUGUGGAUUUUUUUUCUUUUUUACUUAUCACAGUUUCAGAGACACAGAAACACCAUUGCACUGAUACCAAUGAGAGCAUCUGCAGAGCUCUGUAACCACCUUCUGUCUCUCUCUGGCAGAGAAUUGGAAGUGCAGGGGGGACGCGUGUCUUGUAUUGCCAUUACUGACUCUCCACGUCAUCUUCCGUGUGCAGAGGCCUCGGCUCCUGUGUCAGAGGUUGUGUGAAGUUAAUUAAGGAAUUCCUGUAUUCUAUUCCCUACAUUGGAAACACACCAAGCCUGACUAACAUUUCUGGAGGGGCAAGAUGCAAAACCAGAAGUAAACAGGAUCUCGGUGCAACAAUACUUUUAUCUAAAAGAGAUUGAUUCUUAUUCUCUGAUUAGAAUUAUUAUCAAGAUGCUGAAGUGCAUAUUCCUCAGCAAAAAUCUGUAAUUCCCAAAUAUAAAUGAGUGCUGUUAAUGCCAAUGAAUGGCUCCCACAGCUAUAUCUGGUCUCACUUAAAAGGUAAGAAACAGCCCUGUUGAUGUUGUGCACAUGAAAGUCUCUGUGCCCUGGCUUACACGUGCUGGCCCUGGCUUCUGCAGCAUUAUUUGUGUUGUCCAGCUACUGUCUUAAUUCAUCCUGUCAUUGUUGUUUCCAGAUUUUUCAAACAAACAUCUGACUCACUAUGUCAUUGCCUCUCUGUAAACUCCUUGCACUACACCUCCAGUGUGUCCUGGCAAACUACUGUUGCUUCAUACAAAUGGGCUCCAUGGCUCCAUUUCUUUUCAGAAGCAACCAGUGCUUUAUUUUUGUUUGAAAUUAUGUUUUUCCUCUGCAAUUCUCUGCAAUGGACUAAUGGAGGACUAUAAUCCACCAAUUGCCUGACUUUUAUCCCACUUUCAAAGCAGGAGCGUUCCAACAGAAAUUGCAGACGCACGUCAAAUUUUUCAUCUGCCCUUAGCUAGUUGUAGGCUUGAGAGCAGGAUUGUGAGACUGGGAAAUUAAUCGGUCUUGAAACUUCACAAUUAAUCAUAGCACAGCCAGGGCUGUGCUCAAGAAUUUAAGAAAAAAAUCCUUAUGGGUAUUAGGUGCCUGAUUACCCCAGAAAUCAAAGACUGUGUAUGUUCUAACUUUGCUGAACACAUCUCUGGAAGCAGUUAAUUUUAUUGCUGAUCCAGCUUUUCUGUCUCUUAGCCAUAUGACAACUACAAAAAUUGAUUAUUCGGAAAAGUAAUAUUAGGAAAACGCUUAAUGCAUUUUUAGCUGCUUCUAAUGGGAUUUAGCAGCUGGAAACAAGAAGAGCUGGCACUAAGUAAUCAUGGCUGUUCUUAGACAGCUGUGUGGGAACCAGAGUAUCAGGACUCUGAAAUAAAUCACCUUUUUUUUUUCUGUAUUUUAAAAAAUGCAAUGAAGAAUUUUUAAGCUAGACCUCUAUACUUGCACCUCAGACAGUUAAAGUCAAGUGGAAUUCAUUGUUAAAUCCAGUCUUGUAAUAACUUUUAGAUGAAAAUGCCCCUGGGUUAUGUAUGAUUUUUUUAUUUUUUUUAUUUAAUGCUUAUGUCAGUUACUAUCUUUGAAAGGCCUCAGGUUUGAAUUUAAAUUCCAUGCUACAUUAAUUUUUAAGCAGAACAAAAAUGUAGUUAUUUCUGCUCCCCUUUUCUCUUUAUGAGCAACAAUCCAAUAGACCCAUUUUCCUGUUUUGGAAGAAAGCAAUUUUAUGCAUGUUGGUGCCUAGGAAUUGCAGUCAGAAAAGUAUCUCGGUAAAAUGACCCUUCCAUAGGUUUUCUGUCUGAAUAGCUCCUAUACUCACUUAGUUCCAUUUAUAAAUCAAAAGCAUGAUUUUUCUGAUGCAAGCACCAUAAGCUGAGUUUUGAAUCUAAAAAGUCAGACUGAGUUCUUUCCUCUGUUACACCAUUACAGUUUUGUCACUGAAAUGCACCAAACAAGUUUAUUUGGUGAUGCUUAAGGGGGAAUGCAGUCCCACUGUGUGGGAAUGGAAUGCAUGUAUUUGUCAGAAUUUUAUCAAAAAAAUAAGCUCUAUUUUUUGGUCCUAAAGUACUUCAAGUAUUUAAUACUAUCAUGGAAAGAGCCAGGAAUGCAUGCCUAGAGUAAGAAGGUACCAUUUUUUUCAUACUAUUUUCCUUAUGGAAGGAAAUUACUUUGGGAUGAAAUCUAAGCAGUCAUCUACCUGUCUGUGGUAGUGCUUUGUGUUAGUGUCAGAUCCUGCUGACCCCUGUGGUACUUUGUGUUCAAGAAAUUGCAAAAUUCAGGGUCUACAGAGGAUUAUACAGGUGGAAUCCUAUGGAACUGGAGCUCACAGUCAAGAAUAUCCUUUCUAUGAUAAUUUUGAUUCUGCCUGCAUAUUCUCUAACAAGUCCUGUGCCGUUGGUUUGUAAUUCUGCCUCACUUCUCAUUACAUGUUUCAUUACAUUUAAGGAAUGUAUCCUUGGCCUUUCCUCGCCUUAAUGUGAAUUCUAUGCUGGAAAAACAAUUUCUAGAGCACAAUUCAUCUACUAGAUUCCAAAUUUAAUCACAACUUUUUGGAAUUAUGCAUCAUCCUUUGUGCUUUUUCUUCUGCUAAAGCUGUUUGCAAAGCUGUUUUAAAGCUGUUUUGACUCUGCUAGAUACCCAGGUUAUUUUUUUUUUUUUCAUUUCAGAGUGGUGUCAGCCACAUCACUGAGGUAGCAGUAGAAAAUGUUUGUUUUAACAUUUGAUCAUGGAUCAAGAAAUUGAGCUCAAAAUUGAGCUCAACUUACUAGUAAACACAGCAAUAGUGAAGCUGAGAAGUUAAAAUAAACCUCUGAGAAAAUGGAAAAUAUUCCCAAGAGCAGUCAAAAAUGUUAUUGCUUUAUCUUAAGGUGGAAUCUUUUGCUGCCUUAUGAAGUGCAGAUCUAAAUAACUGCAUAGUGUUAGACCCUCAGAAAGGUCACUUUACACAGUUUGGGGAACCUGUUGGUAUAUAUUUAGGUGUGCACAUGUGUUCAGGAAAGGAUCAGACAUUAUCCCCCACUAUUCCCUUUUUCCUUUACUCUCCACUUCAGAUAUACAACACUGCGGUCACAUCUCUUUUUGUACCAGAAGAUUUUCAAGAUUACUGGGAAAAACAUGUAACUUCUUGGACCUUGAAAAGGAAGCUUUAAGAUUUUUAAGGAGCACAUUUAAACCUAACACAGCUGGAAGAUUUCUCCACUGAUUUAAUGUGCACAGACUCAGACUCUUAGUAUCUGAGAAGAGAAUCAAGAGAAAGACAUACUCAGUUGAAAGAGAAUUAGUCCAGCCUUUCAGAAUGACCAAAGCUUGAAGUAUCAAUGAAGGAGACUCUGAAGAGGAUUGUGAGGAACAGUAGCCAAGAAACUAGCCAGGCUUCCAGUGAAGAGACUGAAAUACCAGCCUCCAGUAUAGAGAGACACUUCUCUUCGACGUUUUAAAUGUUUGCAGGGAGCAAACAUUGGGGUAUUUUAUUUGUUGUCUCCAAAAGUCUCUUUGCAACUAGAUUACUUUCUUUUCAUUUAUAGCAGUUCAUGACUAUUCUGAUGAUGACUGAAGACAUAAUAUAGAAAAAAAUAUAUAAGGUUCUGUUUUACAGUGCAUUUUGUUCACAACAAAGGGUGCCAUGGAUUGUGCACCCUAGGGCACCCUAUAACAAGUUGUGUAAGAAGUCUGUGGCAUGGCCUAGAAGCAGAUUAAAUUGUUUUUGUGGCUUUCUUUUCCUUUUGGCAAGGGAUGUAUGAAAUUCUCAGCUGGUAGAGGUCCAGAAACUGAGCAUCGUCAGCAAAAAGGUAGAUGUAAGUAGCUGAAGCCUUCAUUUACCAACCCAGAUUGUGCAACUUUGCUAAGUCAGAGGACUGAGUUAGUGUGAGGUCUAUGACGUAGAAAGAGUUACUGGAACUUUUUUACUUUCAAGUGCUGAUAAUAUUUCUGAUAGAGUCCAAGACCAAAUUCAGAACAUGUUCUGAUGCAACAUCACCACCACCAAAAUAACCCAAACUUCCAAGAGAAUGCAUCUGAGUGGCACUGUGACUUGCACACAAAUGGAUGUCAGCAGAUUUGAUUCAAAUUUCAUUCUCAGUUACCUAGCUGAAUUUAGAGAUCCAUCACCACUUUGACACACACUCUUCUGGGCUGGUUCCUGCUGGCAGUCCCUCCUGGUUCCAGAAGUACACAGUGGGAUUGCCUCUUGCCCUAGGGACACUCAGGCUGUGGAUGUGGGCUGGUUUUCAGGAACUGAAUCUGUAGUGGUCAGCUGACUCCUUUCUGAUCCUUUCAUUGAUACUGCAGUCCGCUGCACAUGGCAUCACAUCCACAUGACAGAUCUGGAACAGAGCUGGCUUCCCUGCUAUCAUUAACUUUGGUUCAUCACGAUGCUUCAGUGACUGCCAAGCUCUCCAGUAGUAAUGGGAUAAAUAUAACCAGCUGAAGCAACAACACGAGUGUAAGCAGCAACUUUAUCUUGCCAUUUCAACUUUACACUUUGGAAAAGGAAUGACUGUUCUGAACAACUAUCACAGCAGUUGCUGAUAUUAGCCUGAGCUGUUGAUGGUGACAGGGUUUCCAAAGGAGACUUAUGGCAUCCCAGUGGAUUCACAUUUUAUAUACAUCAGCUUGUAAAUGGUUGGAACUUCCUUUUGGCAUUACAAGGGAUCAGCAGUAAAGAAGCUACAUAAGCCAAUUUCUCCCUUGUAGUUGAUGCAAUUAACUUUGCAGACAGCCACGCCCAAAGUAUACAUGUAAUGCUUUCAGUGCUAGGUUUCCUUAUUCAUUUUAAUGGAACAUCUUUCUUGGGUUUGUCCAGGAUUUAUAUUGAUAUAAACAAAGGACACCAAAUCAGGUUCCUAAAAGUGACCAUCAAAGAACUCAAUGCUAAACAAGGGCUAAAUACUUAUCCCCACUGCUGUAAACCCAAACAAAUACCAACAAAUCAAAAUGAUUUAGUUUGACAGGAAACUAUGAUACCUAACACAGAAUAUAUAUAGCCUUCAGCACUCACUGUGGUAAAUCUCAACUGACUUCACUUGAGGGACUGAGAGCAAAAUGUGUCCCCUGUAUCUUUAAAAGACCAACAGCCUUAGAAUGGCAAAUUAGUCUCAGUCUGCAGCCUGUAUGUUAAAUGAAUGACAUUUUAUCAUACCUCCUCCACGAGUGCCAAUAGUAGGGGUAGAUAUAGGGUGUACCUGUGCUUCUCAUUAGUCGCUCAAGGAUGACACCUUCUAUGUUGUGCUUGUUACCAUUGUAUAUUAAUCUACAGUUUUAUGUCAAAUACUUUUUUGAAAUCCAAGUAGAUUAUGUCAAUUAAUCACUUUGCACAGUCUGUGUUCCUUGUGAUCUCAUCUCUUAUUAAUAUCUUAAGGAUCUUGCCUACCACCAAGGUCAAACUGGUCUAUAAUUUCCUAGCUCCACCCCAGGCCUUUUUAAAGAGGGUUAUGUUUGUGUUAAGGUGUCCUUCAGUAGCUGCUUCAUUUUCGGAAUGCUAUUAAGAAUCUCUAAUCUGGUUUCAAUGGCUUUGAUUUCUAAAGUUUUCUAGAAGUACUGAAAAGGUGGCUUAUAGUUGCUUCAGUUGGCCUUUUUGGUGUUAAACCUGGACUCUUCACUGCUAGAAUCUUUCCACAUCUGGCACCGUUUCAUCUUCUUUCUACACAGAAAGUAGCUCACUUCGGUUUUCAUUUGCCUCUUUAUAGUGUAAGGUUUCUAGCUGCAAAUCAAAAAAACCUUCAUCCUUGUUUGUUUUUUUUUCCCUGCUUCUGUGAACGUGUUGAUUCUUUUCGUGUUCAAAGUGUAGGCAACGUACAGGAUUGCAUGGGCUAUACAAAUAUUCUUGAUUAGAUUCUGCUUUUCAGGGGCGGAAAUAAAAAAAACCCAACUUCUAUUAAUAACUGUUUAGCUCUAAUUGUAUCCCAUUUAUAUAUCUCUUUAUAUAUCCAUCAAGUUUGAUGGAUAUCAAUCUUUAUAUUCUCUUUAUAUAUGCAUCAGGUUUGAAAGAAAUUCAUUAGAGGGCAGACUAUUUUACUUUGAAGCCUUCAACACAUCCCAAGCAUAGCAAUGGAAUCUAAAAAGCAGAAAGAAAGCAAAAUUGCAGCACAGUAAACAACUGUAUACAUAUUACAGGCUAAAGCUGAUUGAGAUGAGGAAAAGUUAUCAGACAGAAAUGAUAUUUUAAUACAUUCUGUAGAUAAAGUCUUUGUCCAGGUUGGAGUAAUUACAGUUGAAAGUGGUGUCCAGAAAGUUAAUUAAACAAAUAGCAUCCUUGCCAGUGGCCUUAACAGAAAUCCAAAUGGCUAAAAGAACUGUCAGUAGCAAGUACUGUACCUGUCAUAAUUAGAACCAAGGCCUGGCUACCACAAUGAGUCACAGAGAGAAGAUUUGACUUCAUUUUGUCGAGUCUAUGUGUGACAUAAGAGUAAACAGGAGAUUUCACUGUAAAUCCUUAUUAGAAAUCCUUCAAGAGAACGAAAAUAUGUUAAAAAUAUACUGUGGAAAUUUAUUUUAUUUAUUUCGAAGGAAAACCUCUUGCUGUUCUAAACUUUCUUACCUGCUGAUUUUCAUCAGUGACAUGAGUAAAUAUAUAUAUUUAACUUGGUUUUGAUUUGGUUUCUCUCAGUUCUGAGCGAGAUUGCCCAUUCAUGUUGUAUGCAGAGCAGUGCAGAUGAGGGCACAGAACAUGCCAUGAUUAUGGUGUCAGCAUUCUCAGCAUGUAGCAUAGCUUCAAAGGCAUGUCACAAAUUAAGAUCAUGUUUAAUACUGUUGUCUUUGCUGAUGCUUGUCAAAUUUGUCACUGGUGUUACAGCUUUUUUUUGGGUUUGCCACCCAGACUCUUCUUGAGACCUGGUCAAGGAUGCAGCAUAAUGGCUGUACCUUUUGAAAAAGAACGCGGCUUUUUCCAUCAGUAACUACCAAUAUGGUGCAGGAGGGGACAUGAGUGGAGUUCUCAGCCCUUUCAGGGAGAGGGAAAUGUUUGGGCAGGAGUGGGUGCUUCAGUGGAUCAAGACUUGGUGCAAGGCUCAUGUUGCAGACUGGAGUUUGGCUCUUACCACACAUGCAAUUAGGAGGAGCAAGGACUUUAAAGUGGGACCCGGAUCCAUCUGACAAGGUGUGGCAAAAAGAGUGUCUUUGAGAGGCUUCAAACUUAAUAAGGACAGCUUGAAACUGGUAAGCUACUCAUGAUGUAGAGCAAGCAUGCACUGCUUAAUCUCAUGGUGCACCAUAUUUAGACUGAUUUCAGAGAGGCACACACUUAAGCUGAAGUAUGAACCAUGCCAAAGCUGAAACCUAAAAUCCUUUUUUUAUUUUUUUCUCUUCAAGAAGGUAGUAGCUAUAUUUUCUUUUCCUUUCCUUUACACCAAUACAAAUGACUACCUGAGAAAGAGAGGGCAUAAACAGCAACUCAUGUAUUUUCUUGUAUUUGCUUAGUAUUCACUUGGGGAGCAGGAAAAGGGGCCUAAAUCCCUUACGUCGAACAAGCUCAACACAGUAAAAUCAGUGAGUUCCCAAAGCUGCUCUAUCACUGCACCCAUCAGAGGGCAGCAGAAACUGCAAAACAGGCCACAGAUGCUUCUUCGUUGCUUUUAAUUUCACAUUCAGGAAGAACCAGAAGAGAAAAGAAACAAUUUAGAAAAAAAAAAAAGCAACACUUCAGAAGCACUUCUGGUAAAAGCUGGAUUGAUGCCUCAUUUUAAUAGCUUUGAAGUGGUCUAGAGCACAUUUUCCAACAGCAACUGUUCUGCAUGUGGUAGUUGGAGCAUUUGCAGUGAGGAUAUGAGGCCAUGUUAGUAUAAUGGCAAUUUGGGUAAGGAUAUGAAUAGUCAUUACAAUGACUGAACAAAACAUUGUGGUAGAAGAAAACCAGACUGUUUUUUUAACAAAUUAAUGUUUGGUAGCAUGGAAUUUUGGAUGAAUGCCUUCAAAUAACAAGGAAAAAAAUAUGCUGCAGUUUGCAACAGAGAUAGGGAGGUUUGUAGUGACAAUCAAAUAAUACCUGUUGGAAAAUAAAAGGAAUAUUCCCUAAUUUACAACGAUCUAGGGAUUUCCAACACUAAUGCAUUUGCAGAAACUGUACCCACAGUAAUGCAUGGCAUUCAGAAACAAUAAAAAGCUAGAAAUAACAUGGGUUACAGAGACUUUCAGCCUAGUGAUCUCACCAAAUGUCUGCUGUGUCAUACAGAAGGUAUGAAAUUAGUGGCAAAAGCUUUUAUCUGUAGAUGACACCUUGAAUUAAGUUGGGUGUAGCAAGUGAAUAUAAAUAAAUAAUGGAUUUAUCUUGCUACUUAUCUGAGUUAUUAACAGUAUUUUGAAGUGACAGAAGUAAUUGUCAGAAAGUAAGUAAAUCCAGUAAGGUUACUCUGAAAUAAACAUUGAAAGUAUUUCUGUGAGUAAACUUUUAUUCCUGUGCCAAAGAAGCACCCAUGAGGAGAGAGGCUUUAAAAGAAUGGAAACAAGAGCAGAGCCCAAAAUGUGUAAUUAUCUGUGGAUUGCACACUAAUCUGGACAGCUAGUUCACCUGCUUUAGGAACUUCAUGCAAAUUCUCACCCAAAUCUGAUCUGCUUUCCCAUCUGAAGAAUUUUUGUUGUCUAGUAUGUACAGGCAGAGUUCUGGAAAUGGCAUAAAAGCCUGUUCUGGCAGCUCUAAAGACAUGGAAACCAGUUAGUUGAAAUGAUUCAAGCAGCCUGCUCUCUUCCCUCAAGCAAAACCACAAAUCAGAGCUCAAGGAGAAAAAAGGAAGAGAUCCUUCCUCAGAGACAAGAAAGGUCUGUUUUGUGGAGGGUUUCAAAUCCAUCCUGCUUUAGGGGUGUACCACUCACUGGUGGCUUAGCAGACCUUGUUUCUUUUACAUAUCACAUUCAUCAUCAUAGAGCCUUCAUGCUCUUUGUGUUGGAUCAGGCGGGUGAAUUCACCUCUCCAUCCAAGGCAGCACCACAGUGAUUUCCCAAACUAAGAAAAAUGCAGAGUAUUGUGACAAGGGGCAAGGAUUUGGGGAAAAAAACAAGGUAUGCCAACUGUAGGGUUUCUGAAGUGCGCUUUUUCUUUGAAUUUUUAAAAAUAUAUUGAAAAUGUGUAAUGCAUGGGGUUGAGGCAGAAGUGCACCUAAACCAAAUUUAGCAGAAACUGUUUCCACAAGAAAUGUUAAUUCUUACAGAACCUGCCCAGAUCCUGUGAAUUUAGGAGGGAGACUGCUCUGUGUGGGAUUUUGCUUCUGGUGAAAGGCAGGAGCUGGCAGUUCACUCUUCCAUCUGAUAGGUGACAUCAGUGAGAACUAGGUCUCAAGUGACAUUAUUUCUCAUGAAAUCCAGAUGCAGUUCAAAGAUGCUGCCAAUAAACAAUUCAUUCAGUUUGCUGAUGUGUUUUUUCCUCACACAGUGGUACAUCGCACUGCUUUGAAUAUUCAUUCCCUUCAUUUUCAUCCCUGAGUAAAUGAAUACAUCACUUUUCACUGUCUGUAAUUUAUGUAAUUACCUUUGUCAUUUGGAAAAGAUUUAAGCAGAUGAAAGGAUUGAAGAGAGGAUAAGGGAUUUUUUUCUUAAAGUUUUAACAAUAAAAGCAAACUUGUGAUUUUAGUAAAAGAAAACCACAAACAUUCUUUGUCACACUCGAGGGCUGCCCUUGGAGGCUGCAAGCAGAACUAGCAAGGAUGAUGUUUUCAGUGCUCUCAUGAGUGGCAGAAGAAGAAGCAUGAGGAAUUAUCAUUUCCCCUGAAGACUCAGAACACGAAAUAGUUUAAAGCUGAUUAUGUUUUAGUUUUUUCUCAAAAGGGUCUGAAAGACAAGUAGAAAGCAGGCCUUGGGCAGCAGCAUUUGCUCCAUAAAUGAUACUCAUCAUAGAUAUCGGUAAAACAUCUUACAAAUGUCUUGUUUUGGACUAGCACCUUCUGCAUCCAGUGCUGAUUUUUCAUGCUUCUAGGUCCAUCUAAAAUCAGGUUUGUGUCAGUUUAGUUAUUAUUUUUAUAAAAACUGAAAUAGCCAUGCUAGGUAGCCCCUGGUGUAAAUACUUCUGUAAAUGAAUAACGGUGAUUAGAUUAACAUAAACAAUUCUCUCAUGGAAGGAUAUUGUUAACUCAGCACAGCUAAACUAAUAGGAGUUUUCUGUAUUGGAAAAACCUUUGAGAAGUGUGAGGAGAUCCUGGAGGCAAAUGUAUCUUCAAUCCUUUUACAGUCCCUAUCAGGGACUAGUAUUUUGCUGCCAAUCCUCACUCAGUCACUUUUGUCAGCAUUUCCUCAUUACUGUUAAACCUCUUGACUUCACUGACCCAGGAACUCCUGGCAAAGAAUACAGUGAGCAAUUUGUUUUAUCCAGGUCUUAGUCCUGCUGAAGCUGUUUGUGAAAUAAUCAUCGUUUGUGCUGCCCCUCUCAUAGCAUCUUUCAUUAGACUCAUCUGAUCAGUCUGUAACUGGACAUACUCACCAGGCUAAACCUUAGGUCAUCAAUGAUGCUGACACAGGCAACAUAAGGCAAAGAAGAGUGGGGAAAAGGAUGAAACAGAGAACUACAGGGAAGAAUUGAGAAGGAAGAAGAACGACUGCAGUUUGUGAAUUUGUAAACUUUCCUGCCUCAACCUUAAAACUUAAAAUUGAAUGUGUUUUAAAUCCAGUGCAUAACAAAUGUAUUUCUAUCACCGCCUCGUCAUGUUUCCUUAAUUU
This is a non-coding RNA of Cyanistes caeruleus (blue tit), 11447 nucleotides long. NCBI's taxonomy places the organism in Eukaryota, Metazoa, Chordata, Aves, Passeriformes, Paridae. The record is from RefSeq and is a predicted model, not a curated record.